UUUUUUUUUGGUUUUUGUUUG
Molecule: small RNA, 21 nt
Filed under: Arabidopsis thaliana (thale cress)
Lineage: Eukaryota; Viridiplantae; Streptophyta; Magnoliopsida; Brassicales; Brassicaceae
Description: ATSL079320
Source: RNAcentral